UGGGGAAUCUUGGACAAUGGGCGAAAGCCUGAUCCAGCCAUGCCGCGUGAAUGAUGAAGGCCCUAGGGUUGUAAAAUUCUUUCAGCAGGGAAGAUAAUGACGGUACCUGCAGAAGAAGCCCCGGCUAACUCCGUGCCAGCAGCCGCGGUAAUACGGAGGGGGCUAGCGUUGUUCGGAAUUACUGGGCGUAAAGCGCGCGUAGGCGGAUCGGUAAGUUAGAGGUGAAAGCCCGGAGCUCAACUCCGGAACUGCCUUUGAUACUGCCGGUCUAGAGUUCAGGAGAGGUGAGCGGAAUUCCGAGUGUAGAGGUGAAAUUCGUAGAUAUUCGGAGGAACACCAGAGGCGAAGGCGGCUCACUGGACUGAUACUGACGCUGAGGCGCGAAAGCGUGGGGAGCAAACAGGAUUAGAUACCCCCGUAGUCC
This 424-nucleotide ribosomal RNA is filed under the name uncultured prokaryote. Its description in RNAcentral is "bacterial SSU rRNA". It matches the Rfam family "Bacterial small subunit ribosomal RNA", at positions 355 to 796 of the family's 1533-position model. The record is from RNAcentral.